RNAcentral lists this long non-coding RNA (1506 nucleotides) under Triticum aestivum (bread wheat). RNAcentral's name for it is "long non-coding RNA (TAES_LNC012154)". Lineage: Eukaryota; Viridiplantae; Streptophyta; Magnoliopsida; Poales; Poaceae. The record is from RNAcentral.
UAAUCACUAGCCAACAUUUAUCAUUUGCUAAAUAUUGGCAUGUCAACUUUUGACAUCGAACCAAUCAUGCUCUAUAAAUUAUGGGCAGUGAUAGGCGCCGGCGCGCCGGCCCAAAUUUCGGCCGGUCCGCUGCCGAGCGUACGAUACAGACUUUUUUAACCGUACGAUACAACUUUUCCUCUGUCUCUAAAAAGUCAACCAUGCUGAAAAAAGGUAGCGACCAGAAUCCACGCACUCGCCGGCCAGAAUAUGCGUGCUCGCCGGCCGCCCACACUUGUCCUCGGCAUCUCAUGCUUGCUGGUCACCUGUGCCACCGCGCCCGCCCACCCGUGUUCGCCGGCGCUCGCGUCAUUGCGCUUGUCUCGGCUGUCUCUGCUCGCCAUGGUUACAACUCGAACGCAGACGGGUUCCAGCUUGUGGUCACCAUGGUUGCAGCAUCUCCGUCGUCUCCGUCUCCGGCUCGCCGCCGUCAUUGACUUGCACCGCAACCGCCAUGUCCAGCAAAAACAAAUCUAAAAAGCAACAAAAACUUCCAAUACACGGUUGAAGCAAAAAGAUUAGCUGGUUCCAGCAAAACUUGAUGCUAUUUCCAGCAAAAAUCGAAUGCAACAAAAACCUCUGGUACUCGGUUGAAGCAAAUAGAUUUGCCGGUUCCAACAAAACUUGAUGGUGGUUCCAGCAAAAAUCUCAGCAGCAAAAAGCGAUAAGCCAAUUGUAGCAAAUGAAUUAGCCAGUUCCAGCAAAAAGUAAUGCUGGUUCCAGCAAAAUAGCCUCAGGCAAAAAAAAAGACUAGUGCCCAUUGUAGCAAAAAAAGAAAGACGGUUCCAGCAAAAAUAAAGGCUGGUUCCAGCAAAAAAUGUGUCACCUGUCCAGGACGCGUGCGGUCCAACAUCAGGGGACACUGGUUCCAGCAUCGUCAUGUGCCGGUUGCAGCUCCCUAGUCCGUCGGUUCCAGCAUCGUUGCCUGAGCAGGAACCGGUCGCCAUCGUCACGCACCAUGGUGACGUAGCGGGGUGCGCGAGCUUGCAGCGCAGUCGUCGGGCCCCUUGCUCGCAGCUCCAAGGAGCCGAGCGUGUGUGAGCAGCAUGUACUUGAGCUCAACCUCAUGGAUCCAUGGCGUAUUGCGCAGGACAUGAGACAGGAAAGCAAAAAACACGAACAAGCUCACCCCCUCUCAUGGAUCUAUGAUGGAAAAAACCGCGGAGAACAGAUAAGGCAACAAAAACGAACUCAAUUUCAUGAAGAUUUGGUGUGGAUUCUUGAAGAGAGAGCACAAGAAGAAAGGGGAGAGAAAUUGAGCAAGGGGGGUUGAAGGACGAGACGCCUGCUGUGGUCUCCAGAAUAUGCGAGGGGAUAAGAUGAAAGCGGUGAAGAUAGACUUAGCUUUGUGGGUGGUGGGCCAGGACUGGGCCAGGACUGCGUAGCGACGCGAGCGUGGUGACCGGCCGAACGCUCGGCCGGCGCACCGUUUGCAAACGUUUACCUUAUUAUCCCAUGGAUUUCAAA